Molecule: long non-coding RNA, 706 nt
Organism: Passer domesticus (house sparrow)
Lineage: Eukaryota; Metazoa; Chordata; Aves; Passeriformes; Passeridae
Exons: 5
Source: RefSeq, a predicted model, not a curated record
AAGAGAAGAGCAGAGAGGGAAGGGGCCGGGCCCAGGGCUGUGCCCUUGGGCUGAGCCUUGUGGGCAGCCUGAGGAUCUCCUGCAGUGCCACAGGAGCUCUUCUGUCCUGCCUUUCUUUGCAGAUGAACCUUCCGGUGAAGGCCCCACAUCCAGGACUGAGGCUCUGGGAGAUGCUGAGGGUGUGUCUGCCGGGAGGACUUCUCCAGGUCCAGGGCUGGAUGCUUGGCCCCAACCCAGCUCCCAUGGCAGGGGUCCUGCAAAAGGAAAGACCCAAGAUACUGCAGCCAAAACAUCUCAUGAGGCAGAUGAAUUCCUGAGACAAACACAGAAGCAAGCACCCCGAGGACAAGUGAUGGACCAAAAGGCUGUUCAGGAGGAGGAACACUCAGGGAGAAGCAGUGGCUCAUUGGCAGCCCUAGCUGCAGGAAGGAAGGUGAUGGCAGAGACGGGCACAGGCACAGCAGGUGUAUUACCAGCUCAUAGCUGGAAGUAUGCUACAACCACUGCCUAGAACAGAUCCGUCUCUCCCUGAAGGGAAUGACCUAGCUGCCCAUCCAGGAUAGGAGGUGCAGCCCUCUAGCCAGGGAAUGGAUUAUUCGAAAAGUUAUAUUUACUUGUAAAAAUUUUAGAUGUUUAUUAAAAACCUUAUUAGAAAUAUAACAGGACACUGAAUAAAGACAAUGUUACUGUGCCGGGAGUAGAGGAU